Molecule: ribosomal RNA, 303 nt
Filed under: Staphylococcus aureus
Lineage: Bacteria; Bacillati; Bacillota; Bacilli; Caryophanales; Staphylococcaceae
Description: partial 23S ribosomal RNA
Rfam family: Bacterial large subunit ribosomal RNA
Source: RNAcentral
CGUGAGACAGUUCGGUCCCUAUCCGUCGUGGGCGUAGGAAAUUUGAGAUGAGCUGUCCUUAGUACGAGAGGACCGGGAUGGACAUACCUCUGGUGUACCAGUUGUCGUGCCAACGGCAUAGCUGGGUAGCUAUGUGUGGACGGGAUAAGUGCUGAAAGCAUCUAAGCAUGAAGCCCCCCUCAAGAUGAGAUUUCCCAACUUCGGUUAUAAGAUCCCUCAAAGAUGAUGAGGUUAAUAGGUUCGAGGUGGAAGCAUGGUGACAUGUGGAGCUGACGAAUACUAAUCGAUCGAAGACUUAAUCAA